GGGUUGCUAACUCAAUGGUAGAGUACUCGGCUUUUAA
This 37-nucleotide transfer RNA is filed under the name Emiliania huxleyi. RNAcentral's name for it is "tRNA-Lys". The record is from RNAcentral. Lineage: Eukaryota; Haptophyta; Isochrysidales; Noelaerhabdaceae. RNAcentral also lists the same sequence under 110 other names.